This 729-nucleotide long non-coding RNA is filed under the name Olea europaea subsp. europaea. Lineage: Eukaryota; Viridiplantae; Streptophyta; Magnoliopsida; Lamiales; Oleaceae. The record is from RNAcentral.
CUAACGAAUUCACAUAUAACAUUUAAAUCAUGCAGAUCUGUAACUAAGAAAAAUGAUUGGAACAGUCUCACCAAAAUUCUAUGUAUAAUAGUAUUUAAAAAUCAAGUUCAUUUUGAUUAAACCCUUGCAUUCAAGACCCUCAGUGAUCAGUGUUCAAGAAUUGCACAGAUCAAAGAAACGCAUCAAUAUGGCAGGAAAAAUUAGAUCAGAUUUCAAAGAUGCCAUACCCAUGCCUUUCGAAGCUGUGAUACAUUGUUAUGAUUUCAUGUACUAAAAUAGGUAGUAUACAAAUCACUAAACACAAACUCAUUCAAAACGGUAAUAUCAAUAUAAGAAAUGGUCACCCAAUUUGAUAAUGCCUAAUUUAGGGGCUCAAAGGUGAAGAGCUCGUCACUACGUUCAAAGAACUGCCCAAGAGAAAGUUUGAGAACAAUGUGACCCGAGACACUAUAAUCGAUCUCAAGAAAAACAACCUCUAAUCGACUCAAGACCAUAAUCAAGUGUAGCCAAAAUUCUAUAUAGUUUAAUCAACUAUAAAAACGCUGAAAACCUUCUGCAAAUGACAACUACACAGUCACAACACAAAUCUGACUAUGCACUACAUCAAAAGACUUGAAAUCAGAAACUAGAUCCGAUUUACAGUAAAAAUCAUCGACCUUCAAGAGGAGAGGCUAUGCAAGAGUUUAGAGAGAGACAAGUGAGAGGUUGACAGAAUGAAUGAAUGAAAAU